Long non-coding RNA from Thamnophis elegans (Western terrestrial garter snake), 1177 nucleotides. RefSeq lists it as uncharacterized. The transcript has 2 exons. The record is from RefSeq and is a predicted model, not a curated record. Lineage: Eukaryota; Metazoa; Chordata; Lepidosauria; Squamata; Natricidae.
UCGAAAGCAUGUUAAAAAACCAGUAGAAAAAUAGGAAGGUGGGAAGGAACAGCAUUCCAUGCACCUUUGGCGUUAGUCAUGCUGGUCAAUAUGAUGAUGAAGACAUCUUUGGACAGCACUGGCUCUUCGGCUAUGAAACUGAGAUGAGCACCGCCACCUAGAGUCGGGAACGACUAGCACAUAUGUGUGAGGGGAACCUUUACCUUUACCUUAUGACACCCACUUGAUCUUGAUUAAUCUUGGAAAUCAAAGUAAGGUUGGACUUUGUUACUACUUGGAUAGAAACCAUGGAGAAAUAUGAGACUAGACUGGUACUUGGACAAAAUAAUCCCCAAAGAAGGCUAUGGCACAUUUGUACCCUGACCACUGAAGUUUCCAGGAAUCACGUUUGCCUCAAAAAAGAUUUUCAACUUCUUCUUUUUUUUAAUGUGAUCUCUCUAGAUAUCUGAAUGUAAACAGCUGCUUAUCAUCACUGAAUAAAUAGUGCUUGGUGGAAAAAGGUGGUUUGGCAAAGUCCAAAGUCAACCAUUCCAAUUCAUUUAUUGCUAGCAGGAUGCAGCUGAAAACAAGGGUUGAUUCAAUCUUUCCUGACUUUUACAUUUCAACAGAUAUUAUAAUCUUCUGGCAAGGAAACCUGUUACCGGCCUAUGAAGUCACUCUUUCUUCUGGGAUCCAGCUACUCCUCUUUUCAGGAUGCGAUAGCUUUGCAGCCCUUCAUUUAUACAAGGAAAAGGUGGAGCCUUGUCUAUUUCCUUCAUCCUUCCGAAAGGGCAGAACAAUUCCAGGAGGAACUGAAAUGCAUGUGAUAUGACAGGGGAUCUGGUUCGGUUGACAAAUGUUCUCCCAGUGCUGGAAAGAGUGGCUCCUUUUCCUUUAGAGAUUUCACAGGACCUCUAUUCUGAGAAAACCUGCUUUAACAUAGCUAUUCCAAGUAAAAUUUAGCAAAACUGUGAAGUUGAAAUCCCUAAAUGUUAUUGGGUUUCCGGAUCCUUGAUUCUCCUUGUCACGGGCUGCAACUUUUGUGAAUGUAGUUAACCACUGCUGUGGACUGCGCAAGAAAAAGUUGGAAGGAAAUCACUGUAGCCAGGUAUAGAGUUAAAAGUGUGUCUGGUACAGUUGGCCAUACACAAUUAAAAGAUGACUUCAGACAAUCAUAUACAGUUUCACUUUCCAUUAA